UUUACAAAAUAAAAAGGCAUUAGUUGGGGCAUUAUAUUUAUAAAUAAUAAGGAUAUCAUAAAUUAUCUAUAGU
RNAcentral lists this transfer RNA (73 nucleotides) under Arthonia susa. RNAcentral describes it as "tRNA-His". Lineage: Eukaryota; Fungi; Ascomycota; Arthoniomycetes; Arthoniales; Arthoniaceae. The record is from RNAcentral.